UCAGUGUGUCACCUUGAUGG
This 20-nucleotide unclassified non-coding RNA is filed under the name Mus musculus (house mouse). Its description in RNAcentral is "oocyte_clustered_small_RNA6244". The record is from RNAcentral. Lineage: Eukaryota; Metazoa; Chordata; Mammalia; Rodentia; Muridae.